GACGAACCGUGCGAACGUUGUUCGGAAUCACUGGGCUUAAAGGGCGCGUAGGCGGCCCGGUAAGUCAAAGGUGAAAUCCCUCGGCUCAACUGAGGAACUGCCUUUGAAACUGUCGGGCUUGAGGCCGGGAGGGGGUAGCGGAAUUCCCAGUGUAGCGGUGAAAUGCGUAGAUAUUGGGAGGAACACCAGUGGCGAAGGCGGCUACCUGGACCGGUUCUGACGCUGAGGCGCGAAAGCGUGGGGAGCAAACAGG
This 253-nucleotide ribosomal RNA is filed under the name uncultured bacterium. Its description in RNAcentral is "partial 16S ribosomal RNA". It matches the Rfam family "Bacterial small subunit ribosomal RNA", at positions 524 to 776 of the family's 1533-position model. The record is from RNAcentral.